GAUGAACGCUAGCGGCAGGCCUAAUACAUGCAAGUCGAGGGGCAGCGGGGUAGCAAUACUGCCGGCGACCGGCGCACGGGUGCGUAACACGUAUGCAACCUACCUUAAACUGGGAGAUAGCCCGGGGAAACUCGGAUUAAUACCCCAUAAUACAUUUGGUUCACAUGAAUUGAUUGUUAAAGAUUUAUCGGUUUAAGAUGGGCAUGCGUUCGAUUAGCUAGUUGGUAAGGUAACGGCUUACCAAGACUACGAUCGAUAGGGGGUAUGAGAGGAUGAUCCACCACACUGGUACUGAGAUAAGGACCAGACUCCUAUGGGAGGCAGCAGUAGGGAAUAUUGGUCAAUGGAGGCAACUCUGAACCAGCCAUGCCGCGUGUAGGAAGAAGGCGUUCUGCGUUGUAAACUACUUUUGAUUGGGAACAAAUGACUCUUGCGAGAGUAGCUGAGUGUACCAAUAGAAUAAGCCACGGCUAACUACGUGCCAGCCGCCGCGGUAA
RNAcentral lists this ribosomal RNA (497 nucleotides) under uncultured bacterium. RNAcentral describes it as "partial 16S ribosomal RNA". It matches the Rfam family "Bacterial small subunit ribosomal RNA", at positions 28 to 523 of the family's 1533-position model. The record is from RNAcentral.